This 220-nucleotide unclassified non-coding RNA is filed under the name Hevea brasiliensis (rubber tree). The record is from RNAcentral. Lineage: Eukaryota; Viridiplantae; Streptophyta; Magnoliopsida; Malpighiales; Euphorbiaceae.
CUCAAUUCCAUUCAGGUUCCUUUUGAGUCUGCAGUUAAGCAAGUGCUGGAACAGCUAAGAAAAAUUGCUAAGGGUGAAUACACAACACCAAUUAUUGAGAGGAGGAAACUUGGAACAAUUGUUUUUGCUGCUAUCGAUUUGCCAGUUGCAGAAAUCUGUAGUUCCCUCAACAAUGUAAGCAAAAGAUGUUGCAUUCUUAUUUUCAUCCAAGUUACUAGGG